This 484-nucleotide ribosomal RNA is filed under the name uncultured bacterium. Its description in RNAcentral is "partial 16S ribosomal RNA". It matches the Rfam family "Bacterial small subunit ribosomal RNA", at positions 30 to 507 of the family's 1533-position model. The record is from RNAcentral.
AUUGAACGCUGGCGGCAGGCCUAACACAUGCAAGUCGAGCGGAUGAAGGGAGCUUGCUCCUGGAUUCAGCGGCGGACGGGUGAGUAAUGCCUAGGAAUCUGCCUGGUAGUGGGGGAUAACGUCCGGAAACGGGCGCUAAUACCGCAUACGUCCUGAGUGAGAAAGUGGGGGAUCUUCGGACCUCACGCUAUCAGAUGAGCCUAGGUCGGAUUAGCUAGUUGGUGGGGUAAAGGCCUACCAAGGCGACGAUCCGUAACUGGUCUGAGAGGAUGAUCAGUCACACUGGGACUGAGACACGGUCCAGACUCCUACGGGAGGCAGCAGUGGGGAAUAUUGGACAAUGGGCGAAAGCCUGAUCCAGCCAUGCCGCGUGUGUGAAGAAGGUCUUCGGAUUGUAAAGCACUUUAAGUUGGGAGGAAGGGCAGUAAGUUAAUACCUUGCUGUUUUGACGUUACCAACAGAAUAAGCACCGGCUAACUUCGUG